This 86-nucleotide small RNA is filed under the name Enterococcus phoeniculicola ATCC BAA-412. RNAcentral describes it as "Trans-activating crRNA". It matches the Rfam family "Trans-activating crRNA". Rfam says of the family: RNA-guided Streptococcus pyogenes Cas9 (SpCas9) is a sequence-specific DNA endonuclease, the Trans-activating CRISPR RNA form an hybrid with the crRNA (crRNA/tracrRNA). The RNA hybrid acts as a guide for the endonuclease Cas9. Lineage: Bacteria; Bacillati; Bacillota; Bacilli; Lactobacillales; Enterococcaceae. The record is from Rfam by way of RNAcentral.
UAUUGGUAGUAUUCAAUUCAACAUAGCGAGUUAAAAUAAGGCUUUGUCCGUACCCAAUUAUAGAGCACUGAUUCGGUGCUUUUUUU